GGGCUCGGCGGGGGAGCGACUCAUGGAGCUGCCGUAAGUUUUACCAACAGACUGCAGUUUCUUCACUACCAAAAUGACAUCAUUUUCCACCUCUGCCCAGUGUUCAACAUCUGACAGUGCUUGCAGGAUCUCUCCUGGACAAAUCAAUCAGGUACGACCAAAACUGCCACUUUUGAAGAUUUUGCAUGCAGCAGGUGCGCAAGGUGAAAUGUUCACUGUUAAAGAGCAAAGUGCAGAGGAAAGUUCCACUUCCAGAAAAAGAACUACAGAAGACAAUAUCCCCACACUGCCUACCUCAGAGCAUAAAUGCAUACAUUCUAGAGAAGAUGAAGACUUAAUUGAAAAUUUAGCCCAAGAUGAAACAUCUAGGCUGGACCUUGGAUUUGAGGAGUGGGAUGUAGCUGGCCUGCCUUGGUGGUUUUUAGGAAACUUGAGAAGCAACUAUACACCUAGAAGUAAUGGCUCAACUGAUUUACAGACAAAUCAGGAUGUGGGUACUGCCAUUGUUUCAGAUACUACAGAUGACUUGUGGUUUUUGAAUGAGUCAGUAUC
Molecule: small RNA, 552 nt
Filed under: Pan troglodytes (chimpanzee)
Lineage: Eukaryota; Metazoa; Chordata; Mammalia; Primates; Hominidae
Description: processed transcript
Source: RNAcentral